GUAAACUAAUAGCAAACCUAUUGAAAGGUAGGGACGCAAAGUUUCCGGUCUAAGGGGUCUGCAAAGCCCUAUGACAGCGGGAUUGCCGGU
Molecule: non-coding RNA, 90 nt
Filed under: Sideroxydans lithotrophicus
Lineage: Bacteria; Pseudomonadati; Pseudomonadota; Betaproteobacteria; Nitrosomonadales; Gallionellaceae
Also listed under: 1 other name
Description: c-di-GMP sequence
Rfam family: c-di-GMP-I riboswitch aptamer
About the family: GEMM was predicted in a large-scale screen for bacterial structured RNA regulatory elements. Genes associated with GEMM are involved in a diverse array of functions, including chemotaxis regulation, signal transduction, secretion and chitin.
Source: RNAcentral